UACGAAGGGUGCAAACGUUGCUCGGAAUCAUUGGGCGUAAAGCGCACGUAGGCGGUCUGUUAUGUCGGAUGUGAAAGCCCUCGGCUCAACCGAGGACGUGCAUCCGAAACUGCGAAGCUUGAGUACUGAAGAGGAUCGCGGAAUUCCCGGUGUAGAGGUGAAAUUCGUAGAUAUCGGGAGGAACACCCGUAGCGAAGGCGGCCGACUGGACCACACCUGACGCUGAGGCGCGAAGGCCAGGGGAGCGAA
This 249-nucleotide ribosomal RNA is filed under the name uncultured bacterium. RNAcentral describes it as "partial 16S ribosomal RNA". It matches the Rfam family "Bacterial small subunit ribosomal RNA", at positions 524 to 772 of the family's 1533-position model. The record is from RNAcentral.